CAGUAGCCGCGGUAAUACGGAGGGGGCUAGCGUUGUUCGGAAUUACUGGGCGUAAAGCGCACGUAGGCGGCUUUGUAAGUUAGAGGUGAAAGCCCGGAGCUCAACUCCGGAAUUGCCUUUAAGACUGCAGAGCUAGCAGGUGAGAGAGGUGAGUGGAAUUCCGAGUGUAGAGGUGAAAUUCGUAGAUAUUCGGAAGAACACCAGUGGCGAAGGCGGCUCACUGGCUCAUACUGGACGCUGAGGUGCGAAAGCGUGGGGAGCAAACAGGAUUAGAUACCCGCGUAGUCCCUGUCUCUUAUAU
RNAcentral lists this ribosomal RNA (301 nucleotides) under uncultured bacterium. RNAcentral's name for it is "partial 16S ribosomal RNA". It matches the Rfam family "Bacterial small subunit ribosomal RNA", at positions 509 to 809 of the family's 1533-position model. The record is from RNAcentral.